AAGUAAGUUGCUGGGAAGUUAUGCUUUUAUAGAUCGAUCUUAGCAUAGUGAUAUGGUAUGAAUUGUGCUGAUAUGUGACAGAAGUAUUAGAAUGAUAUAAUGCUACAAGUGAUGUAUUAAUAAUUUCUAAGCACAAAUGCUAUUUAUAUUGGCAUGUGAAUCGCUUUCCAACAAAUUAUAAUCGCUAAACUCAUUUUCCCGUCAUGCAUUUUCAUAUUCUUUCUUUUUUUCAUCUAUAUUUCGAGUAUAUCGGCGGCAUAGUUCGCCGAUAUUCCAAAGAAAUGUCUACCCUAUCAACCUGGUCUAUGAGUCUACCAUGGUUAUUACGAGUAACGUAGAAUAAGGGUUCGACUCCGGAGAGGAAGCCUUAGAAACGGCUACCACAUCCAAGGAAGGCAGCAGAUGCUAAACUUAUCCAAUCUUGAAGAGAUGGGAUAGUGAAUAAAAUAAAAAGACCAUUCCUUUGGAACGGUUAUUUCAAUGAGUUGAUCAUGAACGUUUUUUCGACUAUUGAGGGAAGAGAGUUAGUCUGGUUCCAGCAGCCGCGGCAAUUCCAGCUCCUCUAGUGUAAAUCGUCAUUGCUGCGGUUAAAAAGCUCGUAGGUGGAUCUGAAUUACAUGCAAUCGCCUUUGGCGUCAUUCAUUGUUGUAACUAUGUGUGCUGGUUUUCUAUCAGUUUCGGCUUUUCUAGAGACUAGCGAGUUUAUUUUGAAUAAAUUAGAGUGCUCAAAAUAAGCGUUUGGUUGAAUCGUUGAUUAUGAAAUAAUAGAAGAGGACUUUGGCUCUAUUUAUUGGUUCAGGAAUUGGAAUAAUGGUUAAGAGGGACAAUUCGAGGGCAUUCGUAUCCCUGCGCGAGAGGUGAAAUUCGUUAACAGCAAGGAAACACUCUAAAGCGAAAGCAUUUGCCAAGAAUGUCUUCAUUAAUCAAGAUCGAAAUUCAAAGGUUCAAAGGCGAUUAGAUACCUCCUAGUUCUGACCGUAAGCUGUGCCAUCUAGCGAUCCGGGUAUUGUUGCCUUGUCGAGGAGCUUCCCGGAAACGAAAGUCUUUCGGUUCUUGGGGCAGUAUGGUUGCAAAGCUGAAACUUAAAGAAAUUGACGGAAUGGCACCACCAGGAGUGGACCCUGAGGCUUAAUUUGACUCAACACGUUGAAAGGUCCUUGGUGGUGCAUGGCCGUUCUUAGUUGGUGGAGCAAUUUGUCAAGUUUAUUCCGAUAACGAGCGAGACUCUAGCCUGCUAAAUAGUGGCUAGAUUUUUCCUUUCGAAUAUGUCCAGUCUACUUCUUAGAAGGAUAAGCGGUGUUCAGCCGCACGAGAUUGAGUGAUAACAGGUCUGUGAUGCCCUUGGAUGUUCGGGGCUGCACGCGCGCUACAAUGGAAGAAACAGCUAGCUUGUCCAUUACCGAAAGGUGCUGAUAAAUCGUUGAAUAUCUUCCGUGACCGGGAUAGGGAAUUGUAAUUAUUCCUCUUGAACGAGGAAUCCCUAGUAAGUGUGAGUCAUCAGCUCAUGAAGAGGAUUAUAAAUACAAAGUAUACCAAAAAGUUUUGACCUUUC
Non-coding RNA from Dictyocaulus viviparus (bovine lungworm), 1552 nucleotides. The record is from Rfam. Lineage: Eukaryota; Metazoa; Nematoda; Chromadorea; Rhabditida; Metastrongylidae.